RNAcentral lists this ribosomal RNA (497 nucleotides) under uncultured bacterium. RNAcentral describes it as "partial 16S ribosomal RNA". It matches the Rfam family "Bacterial small subunit ribosomal RNA", at positions 28 to 507 of the family's 1533-position model. The record is from RNAcentral.
GAUGAACGCUGGCGGCGUGCCUAAUACAUGCAAGUCGAGCGAACGGACGAGAAGCUUGCUUCUCUGAUGUUAGCGGCGGACGGGUGAGUAACACGUGGAUAACCUACCUAUAAGACUGGGAUAACUUCGGGAAACCGGAGCUAAUACCGGAUAAUAUUUUGAACCGCAUGGUUCAAAAGUGAAAGACGGUCUUGCUGUCACCUAUAGAUGGAUCCGCGCUGCAUUAGCUAGUUGGUAAGGUAACGGCUUACCAAGGCAACGAUGCAUAGCCGACCUGAGAGGGUGAUCGGCCACACUGGAGCUGAGACACGGUCCAGACUCCUACGGGAGGCAGCAGUAGGGAAUCUUCCGCAAUGGGCGAAAGCCUGACGGAGCAACGCCGCGUGAGUGAUGAAGGUCUUCGGAUCGUAAAACUCUGUUAUUAGGGAAGAACAGAUGUGUAAGUAACUGUGCACAUCUUGACGGUACCUAAUCAGAAAGCCACGGCUAACUACGUG